This is a long non-coding RNA of Xyrauchen texanus (razorback sucker), 827 nucleotides long. RefSeq lists it as uncharacterized. The transcript is spliced from 3 exons. The record is from RefSeq and is a predicted model, not a curated record. Lineage: Eukaryota; Metazoa; Chordata; Actinopteri; Cypriniformes; Catostomidae.
AACACAUGCAAAUGUUCUAGAUCAUUUUGAUUCUGGCUCUGAAAGAUAUUAAUACUUUAAUAUUUCUUCAUUAUCAGACUCUUUUAUCCAAAGUGAAAUACAAAUGAAGAAUACUACAACAAAAGUGAUCCAUCCUGAAAUAUAUUCAUCUUGACUAAAGUCAUAAUUACAAAAUGAAAACAAAGAUCCAAACCACCCAAAUAAUUAAUAAUAAUUGAUUUGAUUAAACUCUAAUAUCAGCAGUUUAAACACACCAAAAGAGUCAUUCAAUCAGAAUGGAAAAUCACCCUGUUAAAAUAUUAUUGAUCGAUAGAUACACAAGUAAAAUAAUUAUAAUCUGAAUGUAACAUGAAUGGGAAAACAUAAUUAAUAAAAAGAAGUUUAAAAGCAUUUCAUAAGAGUUUGGAAACAGUCCGCUGCUGGUGUCUGGUGUGGUCCGGUGUAUUGUCUGGUUCUGCUGGUGUCUGGUGUGGUCCGGUGUAGUGUCCGGUUCUGCUGGUGUCUGGUGUGGUCCGGUGUUGUGUCCGGUUCUGCUGGUGUCUGGUGUGGUCCGGUGUAGUGUCCGGUUCUGCUGGUGUCUGGUGUGGUCCGGUGUAUUGUCUGGUUCUGCUGGUGUCUGGUGUGGUCCGGUGUAGUGUCCGGUUCUGCUGGUGUCUGGUGUGGUCCGGUGUAGUGUCCGGUUCUGCUGGUGUCUGGUGUGGUCCGGUGUAGUGUCCGGUUCUGCUGGUGUCUGGUGUGGUCAGGUGUAGUGUCCGGUUCUGCUGGUGUCUGGUGUGGUCCGGUGUUGUGUCCGGUUCUGCUGGUGUCUGGUGUGGUCCGGUGUAGUG